CCUGAGGGUAGAGAAAUGUGGCUGUUUUUCAAAAUCAAUAUGGAUCUUUCUUUCCUGGUGUUUCCUGUCAUGUACUAAAUAUUAUAAAACAAGAAUCUGGGAAUCUUUACAACAUCCACUACUAGCGGGGUAAUGUGACAACACAAGUUGAAAGCGGGGCAGCAGCCAUAGACACAGUCUAAAUAGACAAUCCCAUUGGGAAACAGCCAAUGCAGAAUUGUGAAGUUCAGGGAUUGAUAUCAAAUACUCUGGCUUUACACAUAUGGUUCCAUCAGG
This is a non-coding RNA of Pelobates cultripes (western spadefoot toad), 276 nucleotides long. The record is from the annotation of a GenBank genome assembly. Lineage: Eukaryota; Metazoa; Chordata; Amphibia; Anura; Pelobatidae.